UAUUAAAAGUUUCCUAUAUUUGUAUUGUUAAAAACUAACAUGGUUGACAGAAUAAUUAAACAGUGACGUGUGACAUGUCACACCUACCUCAUGUUAACAUAUAAAGAUCCAUUUUUAAUGGUAGAAAUGGAUGAAAUUUAAAA
Molecule: non-coding RNA, 143 nt
Organism: Gossypium hirsutum (cotton)
Lineage: Eukaryota; Viridiplantae; Streptophyta; Magnoliopsida; Malvales; Malvaceae
Source: Rfam